UACGUAGGUGGCAAGCGUUGUCCGGAUUUAUUGGGUUUAAAGGGUGCGUAGGCGGUCCUAUAAGUCAGUGCUGAAGUAUCCCGGCUUAACCGGGAGGGUGGCAUUGAUACUGCAGGACUUGAGUGAAGUCGAAGUAGGCGGAAUUGACGGUGUAGCGGUGAAAUGCUUAGAUAUCGUCAAGAACACCGAUAGUGAAGACAGCUUACUAGACUUCAACUGACGCUGAGGCACGAAAGUGUGGGGAUCAAACAGG
RNAcentral lists this ribosomal RNA (253 nucleotides) under uncultured bacterium. Its description in RNAcentral is "partial 16S ribosomal RNA". It matches the Rfam family "Bacterial small subunit ribosomal RNA", at positions 524 to 776 of the family's 1533-position model. The record is from RNAcentral.